Vicugna pacos (alpaca) is the source of this 2927-nucleotide non-coding RNA. NCBI's taxonomy places the organism in Eukaryota, Metazoa, Chordata, Mammalia, Artiodactyla, Camelidae. The record is from RefSeq and is a predicted model, not a curated record.
GCUCUGGUUCUUCAACACCAAGAGUAGAAAGAUACAAGAAGAAUUGGGAAAAAAAAAAAAAAGAACCCAAUGCUGUGAUGUUACUGAAUGACAGCUGUAGAAGAAACAUCAACCGGGCCAUGGACUCGUCGCCUCGGUUAAAGUUCACUCCCAGCUCGGGCUCCUGCGGGAGAGAGGCAGGGCCAGCUACCAGGAAAGGCCUCAGCAGCCCCCCGCCGGCCCGCGGAUGGCAUCCUUCAGUCUUAACUGUCAGAACCCUCUACAUGAGCCCCUUUAAAUCAGAAAACUGUAGGUCUAAUCGCCACCCAGCCUGGCCCAUCUUGGUCCAUUUUGCUGAAGCACAGAGGUUUUGCUUACAGCAGAAGGUCAAACCUGGAUUUGCCAGAAGGCUCCCGGAAUCUCCAACUGACAACGCUUCCAGGCCAAGGAAUUUUUAAUUCGUAUUUUCUGUUUUUCUGGCGCUGCUAGGGGGCAGGGCUGGGUGCAGCUGCUCCGCCACCUGGUGGUCACACCCAGAACUGCAGUAUUUUCAGCAUGGCGCCCAUCCCCCAAGAGUUCCCCAGCAGAAGUGGGAAGACAGGGACAUUGGGGUGGGAUGCAGGCAGCCUCAGAUUAUAGCCACUACGCCCUCCAGAGCGGCUUAUUAAAUUAAUUCCUGUAAAGUGAACCUCUGGUUCUUAUGGAAUCAGAAUGGCCAUUGGAGUUGACUUUUCUAGCCAAGGGCUCCACUGCUUAAAGCCAAGGCCAAAUUUGUCUGCCAAAUGACCUUAGGCAGUUCACGUCCCUUCUCUGAACUCCAAGGUCCCUUCUCUGAAUCUCUAAGGUGGACGCCUUCCACUUAAAGUAGUGACAUUAAAUGAGAUGACGAGUGGCCCUGAUGAAGGAUCUUAGCCACCGUCAACAUCACCGGCACCAUGCUUGAACCCUUUUUCUUCCUUUUUUUUCUUUUCCAGUUGAAGUCACAGCAUUUCAGAUCCAGCUGGGCUCACUGGAUUUGGCCCCUCCCUGCACAGCUGGAAGAACCUGAGGUCAGGAGAAGAGAACAAGCUCACCACCUUGGGGACGAGGGACAACAGGAAGAAAACCAGCUCUCACCUCCGGAGCUCCUUACUUCCUCCUUGAGGGCAGCACUUGGGAGAUUUUUCCCCAAAUAACACUGCAAGCUUGAGUCACUUCUUUGUUACCGUUGGAAUUCCUCUUCAAGCCACUGCCCAGCAGCAGCUGAGAUCUCCCAGGUCUUACACACUAUAAAAGAGCAUCUUUGUAAAGGCUCCUCAGUUCACCCAUGUGCCUCUUUGGGAGGAGGGCAGAUGACAGGAACUCUUAACUCCACCUUGUCCUUCCCUACAGCAUGACUCCCACAGUUCCACACCCCCGAGGAACCCACAAAAAUGCUUUUUUUCUAUGUAUUUCAGAAACACAUCAACAUUAAUAACUAGUUGUCUUUAAUUGAGACGUUGUAUGCACACGUGGCAAACAACUCAAUGGCCCAGAAGUACACAAAUUGACAUGCAAAGGUCCUCUCCCCCCCCUCCACUUGCCUGGAGGCACCUGCCACCAACCAUGUGUAUUCUUCCAGAAAAAUCUUAGAGCAUCUUCAAAUACGUGCACUAAGAUUAAAAUUUUUUUUUAGAUUCUUCCUUUUUUUUUUUUUUGGUUGGGGGAGGCAAUUAGGUUUAUUUUUUUACUUUUUAGAGGAGGUACUGGGGAUUGAACCCAGGACCUCAUACAUGCUAAGCAUGCACUCUACCACUUGUUUUGUACCCUCCCCCCUUAAUUUGUUGAAUAGGUAGUGAAUUCACAUGGUUCAAAGCAGAAAAUGUGAAAAAGGUUUACAAAAAAAGCUUCCUUCUCCUAUCCCCCCUUCCCACCGCCUCCACUGAGCUCUCACUUGUCACCUCCAUUCCCAGGUGACCGCUUUUAAUUUCUCAUGCAUCCUUUCAGAUUUUCUUCCUAAAAACAUAAACAAGCAAAUGUGCAUUCUUAUUUUGCUCCCUUUUAUGCAGAAGGUAAUUUUGCUCUCUGGGUUUAUUUCCCCCUAGUAUUAUACCUUGUGCAUCCAUUAGCAUAGUCCUUCAUUUUUACAGUUGCAUAGUAUUCUAUUCCACUGUGUGGAUUUCCACAAUUUACCUAACUGGCUUCCUAUUGAUGGGCAGUUGGAUGGCAAUAUUUUGAUGUUUCAAAAAAUGUUGAAAUGAAUAACAUUGCACAUAUAUGCUUUUGAAUGUGUGCUACUGUAUCUGUAGGAUAAAAUUCCUGAAGUGGGAUGGUGGAAUUGAAGUGUCAAUGAGCUGGUGGCCUUGAGAAGCAGCCCCGUUGCGCUCCCCAGGGACAUACUCAUUCACACUGCCCCCUGCUCCUUAAUACACUGCGCUGUGACUACACUUGUAGGGUUUUGCCAACAUCAUGGGUGACGAAUAGCAUGUCAAUGCAGCUUUAUUUUGUGUUCCUUUUCUUAUGAGUGAGUUUGAGCAUCUUUUAAUAUAUUUAAGAUGUAUUAGUAUUUCUUUCCUAUGAACUGUUUCCUUAUAGCCUUAGUCUAUUUUUUGGCUGCGGUCUGUGGCUCCCUGACCAAUUUGUACAAGCUCCUUCUAUGUUAGGGAGUUGGCUCUUUGCCUGUGAUAAAAGCUGUGAAUAUUUUUCCGGUGACUUUCACCAUGCUGUUGUUAUUGAUCUUGUAGCACGUAGAGGUUUUGUUUUUUUUUUGGUAAUCUUUUCUUCUUUGACUUUUGGAUUUUUGCAUCAUAAUCAGAAAGGCCUCCUCCACUGCAUGGCGACACAGGAAGCCUUUCCCGGUUUGCCUCCGUAAGUCAACAAGGCGGCUGAGUUUGUCACAUGCCUUAGCAGCAUCUGUGGGGCUGACGUCUGACUUUUCUUGUUAAAUUGAUGAAUAGGAUGAAUUAUAUUAAUAAAUUUCCUGAAUUAUA